UGGCGAACGGGUGAGUAACGCGUGGGCAACCUGCCCUCUAGAUGGGGACAACAUCCCGAAAGGGGUGCUAAUACCGAAUGUGACAGCAAUCUCGCAUGAGGAUGCUGUGAAAGAUGGCCUCUAUUUAUAAGCUAUCGCUAGAGGAUGGGCCUGCGUCUGAUUAGCUGGUUGGUGAGGUAACGGCCCACCAAAGCGACGAUCAGUAGCCGGCCUGAGAGGGUGAACGGCCACAUUGGGACUGAGACACGGCCCAAACUCC
This 259-nucleotide ribosomal RNA is filed under the name uncultured Veillonellaceae bacterium. Its description in RNAcentral is "partial 16S ribosomal RNA". It matches the Rfam family "Bacterial small subunit ribosomal RNA", at positions 96 to 339 of the family's 1533-position model. The record is from RNAcentral. Lineage: Bacteria; Bacillati; Bacillota; Negativicutes; Veillonellales; Veillonellaceae.